UACGGGGGGAGCAAGCGUUGUUCGGAUUUACUGGGCGUAAAGGGCGCGUAGGCGGUCGUGACAAGUCACUUGUGAAAUCUCCGGGCUUAACUCGGAAAGGUCAACUGAUACUGUGCGGCUAGAGUGCGGAAGGGGCAACUGGAAUUCUUGGUGUAGCGGUGAAAUGCGUAGAUAUCAAGAGGAACACCUGCGGCGAAGGCGGGUUGCUGGGCCGACACUGACGCUGAUGCGCGAAAGCCAGGGGAGCGAACGGG
Molecule: ribosomal RNA, 254 nt
Filed under: uncultured bacterium
Lineage: Bacteria
Description: partial 16S ribosomal RNA
Rfam family: Bacterial small subunit ribosomal RNA
Source: RNAcentral